Molecule: ribosomal RNA, 746 nt
Filed under: uncultured bacterium
Lineage: Bacteria
Description: bacterial SSU rRNA
Rfam family: Bacterial small subunit ribosomal RNA
Source: RNAcentral
AGAGUUUGAUCCUGGCUCAGGAUGAACGCUGGCGGCGUGCCUAAUACAUGCAAGUCGAACGAGUUCUUCGGAACUAGUGGCGGACGGGUGAGUAACACGUUGGUACCUGCCCCGAAGUGGGGAAUAACUGCCCGAAAGGGUGGCUAAUACCGCAUAAUACCGCAAGGUUAAAGCGAGUAAUCGCGCUUCGGGAGGGGCCUGCGUCCCAUUAGCUUGUUGGUAGGGUAAUGGCCUACCAAGGCAACGAUGGGUAGCUGGAUCGAGAGGUUGACCAGCCACACUGGGACUGAGAUACGGCCCAGACUCCUACGGGAGGCAGCAGUAAGGAAUCUUCCACAAUGGACGAAAGUCUGAUGGAGCAACGCCGCGUGCAGGAUGACGGUCUUCGGAUUGUAAACUGCUUUUAUAUGGGAAGAUUAUGACGGUACCAUAUGAAUAAGGACCGGCUAACUACGUGCCAGCAGCCGCGGUAAUACGUAGGGUCCAAGCGUUAUCCGGAAUCACUGGGCGUAAAGCGUGCGUAGGUGGCUUGUUAAGUGAGAUGUUAAAUCGUGUGGCUCAACCAUAUCGUUGCAUCUCAUACUGGCAGGCUAGAGGACGGCAGAGGCAAGUGGAAUUACGAGUGUAGCAGUGAAAUGCGUAGAUAUUCGUAGGAACACCAAUGGCGAAGGCAGCUUGCUGGGCCACUCCUGACACUGAGGUACGAAAGCGUGGGGAGCGAACAGGAUUAGAUACCCCGGUAGUCC